This 440-nucleotide ribosomal RNA is filed under the name uncultured bacterium. Its description in RNAcentral is "partial 16S ribosomal RNA". It matches the Rfam family "Bacterial small subunit ribosomal RNA", at positions 338 to 795 of the family's 1533-position model. The record is from RNAcentral.
CCUACGGGUGGCUGCAGUGGGGAAUAUUGCACAAUGGGGGAAACCCUGAUGCAGCGACGCCGCGUGAGUGAAGAAGUAUUUCGGUAUGUAAAGUUCUAUCAGCAGGGAAGAAAAUGACGGUACCUGAGUAAGAAGCCCCGGCUAACUACGUGCCAGCAGCCGCGGUAAUACGUAGGGGGCAAGCGUUAUCCGGAUUUACUGGGUGUAAAGGGAGCGUAGGCGGCGGUGCAAGUCAGGAGUGAAAGGCCGGGGCUCAACUCCGGGACUGCUCUGGAAACUGUAUGGCUGGAGUGCAGGAGAGGUAAGUGGAAUUCCUAGUGUAGCGGUGAAAUGCGUAGAUAUUAGGAGGAACACCAGUGGCGAAGGCGGCUUGCUGGACUGUAAAUGACGUUGAGGCUCGAAAGCGUGGGGAGCAAACAGGAUUAGAUACCCGUGUAGUC